This 64-nucleotide transfer RNA is filed under the name Ibacus alticrenatus. Its description in RNAcentral is "tRNA-Lys". Lineage: Eukaryota; Metazoa; Arthropoda; Malacostraca; Decapoda; Scyllaridae. The record is from RNAcentral.
CACCCGAUGACUGAAAAAAGUGUAGAUCUUUUAAAUCUAUUAUGGUGUAUACUACCUCUGGUGA